Molecule: long non-coding RNA, 380 nt
Filed under: Salvia miltiorrhiza (redroot sage)
Lineage: Eukaryota; Viridiplantae; Streptophyta; Magnoliopsida; Lamiales; Lamiaceae
Description: long non-coding RNA (SMIL_LNC008792)
Source: RNAcentral
AAAGAAAGAAUUUUUUAAAAUUUUAACUUUUACAUUUUAAAUCAAAUACUUACAUAAUUAAAUAUACCAAAUUAAAGCUUUUAUCGUGAUCUUUAAUUUGAUAUUUAUAUUAAAUAUUCAAAUUUCGCAAUUUUAGAAAGAAUUAAAACAAAAAAAAUAAGAAGAUAAAGAAAAAAGAAAUAAAAAGAAAAUAUAAAUUAUAAAUAAACUUUCAAUUUUAUUAUAACUAUAAAAUUGCCACUUAAUUUUAAAAUCAAUUUGAAGCGCUUAAUUAAACUCUCCAGCUCGGCCCUUUGCUUCAUCAUCUGAAUAUGUUUGAAUUUCACAAUUGACAUUUGACCAUUAAUUCUUAGCUACUUGAGAUGGCUAGGGUGUUAGCU